Molecule: transfer RNA, 72 nt
Filed under: Candidatus Tagabacteria bacterium CG09_land_8_20_14_0_10_41_14
Lineage: Bacteria; Candidatus Tagaibacteriota
Also listed under: 1 other name
Description: tRNA-Arg
Rfam family: tRNA
About the family: Transfer RNA (tRNA) molecules are approximately 80 nucleotides in length. Their secondary structure includes four short double-helical elements and three loops (D, anti-codon, and T loops).
Source: RNAcentral
CUCCCCGUAGCUCAACGGACAGAGCAGUGGCGUCCUAAGCCAUUGAUGGGGGUUCGAGUCCCUCCGGGGAGA